Long non-coding RNA from Antechinus flavipes (yellow-footed antechinus), 2338 nucleotides. RefSeq lists it as uncharacterized. Lineage: Eukaryota; Metazoa; Chordata; Mammalia; Dasyuromorphia; Dasyuridae. The record is from RefSeq and is a predicted model, not a curated record. The transcript is spliced from 3 exons.
UGAUCAACCUCACAGAUUAGGCUAUAAAGGAAUGACAAGUGUCUGGCUCUUCAAACAGAAACCAGAAGGCCUGGUGAGGAUUAGAAGAUCUGGACUUAAGUCCCAAUUCUACCAUGUCUCAGUUUUGUCAUAGUAGACAAAUCACUUUCCCUUUUGGAAUACAGUUUCUCAGCUGUAAAAUGAGAAAUUGGGAUUAAAUAUUCUCUUGAGACCUUUAAUCUCUUCACAUUCCAUGAUUCUGUCAUUCUUUCAAAUGUAUAUAAUUCAAUGAAAAGGAAACAUUCAAUUUAGUUCUUUCUUUGCUGCUAACUAUCUCUGUGAUUUUAGCAUAUUAUGGUGGAAGGAGGACUGGAUUUGGUGUUUAGAGAGUGUGGGUUUUGGAUCGUGGUUAUGCUAGCUAUGUAACUUUGGCCGGUAAAUUAAUCUCUCUGGAUCUUCAUUUCCUUAUCAAUUUCCUAUUUCCUUAAAAUAAGGAAAUUGGAGUACAUAGAUCCUAAGCUUCCCUUCUAGCUGACAAGCUUUAAAUAAAUCACUGAACCUUUUGGAACCUCGCCACCUCACCUGAAAAAUGAGGGAUGCAACUCCAAGAUAAUGUCCAAGAUCCCUUCCAAUCCCCAGGACAGUAAAGUUGUAUGUUAAGUGAUGACAAAAAUAGUAGUUCAGCAACAUUCUUCAGCUUAGGAAAUUUCAGUGUGGUCUUUUGUGUUUCACAAGGACAUUGGCUCCAGUUGGCUGCACACUGAGAUUUAACCCAAGUCUUUAUUGGAAAAAUCUUCCCAUAGGAAAUUGCAAUAUGAUUUCAAGAUCUAAUUGAAGUGGAAAUCAAUGUGGCUAUAUGAUAGUUCUUCAAUGGUUAAGGAAUUAGGAGAUCAUAUCAUUUAACUGUUUCCCAAAGAUGAAGGAAGAUUUUAAGCACAUUAGGACUCAAACCUGAACAGAUUGAUUUUCCCUUCCAACGUUAAUAUCCCAUGAUAAGGCAUAGUCCCAAUCCAGUAAGGAAUGUCAAUAGUGUUAUUUAGUUGGAGGUACAGAAGUAGUAUAAAGAUCCAUUAUGUACCUUUCUGAAAAAAUAUAUUAUUACUGCUAUGGUUCUGGCCUGCACAGAGAAAGUGAAGAAAGCAAUGGAAAAUAAACUAAAAUCAGCACAAUGGAAAUGCUUCCUGCUUGCUGCUGUCCUUUCCCCCCUUUGUAUUAAAAGAAAUGAAAAGAAGGGCUGUGAAUGUUUACUCUGAAUUUCUGAUUUCUAGCUAUACCAUUGGUCUUAUUUUUUUUCGUGUUUUGGAGGAAGACUUCUAAUGUGGAUGUAAGCUUAUGUUUUUAUAAAAAUCAAUAUUCUAGUUCCUUCCAGGAAAAGUGGUUAAUGAAUAAAUCAAAACAUUUUUUUCUGAAUAUUUAUUGUCUGCCUAGUUCUGUCUUCUUUGACUUGGAUAGGAUACAAAUUCAGGAGUUCACAAGGACUGUGGUGACUUUAGGGCAGUUAGCUAUCUCCUAUGGCUGGAAUCUAGAUAGGGAUCUGCUUUUCCUUAGACUCAAUUUGAUCUCUUGUUUGUAGAACCAGCUUCAUGACAUGAUUUCAGGAAAUAAGAAGCUUAAUCUUCCUUAACACUUUCUCUUCCCCAAUCACUCUACUUAUCCAAUAGGGACAAUAUCAUUACCACAAUUUGCAUUUGAGGGAGUUGGUAGUGUUCGCUGGAUUCACAACAAUUUCACAUGUCUGCUUCCCAGAGAUUAUCUAGGUGGUGUGAUAGGUAGAGUGCCACACUUGGAAUCAUGAAGUCUUCAGUACAAAUCUAGCCUUAGCCAUUUAUGAACUGGAUAAAUCACUUAAUCUCUAUUUGCUUCAGUUUUCUCAUCUGUAAAAUAGAGAUAAUAAUAGCACCUACUUUGAAGGGUUGUUGAGAGAUUAAAAUGGCUAAUAAUUGCAAAGUGCUUUGCAGAUUUUUGUUUUUAAAAAUAUGCUAUUAUAUAGUAUAUAUAUGCUAGUUAUUAUUAUUAUUAUAAACUAGGGCAGUUAGUUAUAUUAAUUGGUACUUUUUGCUUUCUUCAUUUCUUCCAGCCAGGUGGAGAAACUCUAAACAGCAGGCAACUAUUGCUGGAUUAGUGAAUAGAAUACUAGGCCUGGAAUCAGGAAGACCUAAGUUCAGAUGAAGCAACUGGGGCCUCGAGAAGCUAAGAGACUUUCAUGACAUCAUAAAUUGUAAUGAAGACCCAGAGAAGUAAAGAAAAUACCUUGAUAUCACAUCAUAGACAGAUGGAAGAACUUUAACUGGAACACAAAUCACUUGACUCAUGUACAAUUCUCUUUCCAAUAAACCACAUUUUGAGUUAAAUAAAAUAA